UAAAGAUCCCAGCCACCGAAGAAAGGCAAAACCGCUCCGCGUGGGAUGCCCGGAGUGGCAUCGAGCCUUGUUCCAGUCCGAAACGGCUCCCGCUACUCUAAGCUGGCUGAAGGGAUGCGAGUAUUCUCCUCCUGUCCAACCGGGCUGCGUCCUGACACCGAGUGGACUCCGCCUCAUGAGUGGGAGCAUCUGCGGAAGGCAUCUGGCCACACCCUGAUCCUCGCCGGUCCCUCUCCCGGCAAUGCAAGCCCAGGUGGUUAGACUCAGAAUGGACUGUGAGCUUUCAAAAAGGAGAAAGAUGGAAGCCACCAAGUAUGCUGCCAGCUGAAUGAAUUGAUGCCCUAUGGCUUGUACAAAAUCGAGCAGAUUAUCUUCUCAUGUUACUCUCAUGUUGUGAAAUAUGUCGACGACCUGCUUACCUUACUUCUUUAAUCUAGGUUCUCCUUGGAAGUAGCACUUGGAACAAGACGUAGAUAACUUCUACUGGGGAAUGAGAUCUUAGGAGCGGGAAAGAAAGACAGAGGGGCUGAGUCUGAACACGUGAAAGAGAAUCCAAGGAAAGCGGGGAAGCAUUGUCAAGAGCUCAUUAGCUGUUAGACCAAAGCAUUACACACACACACAUACACACACACACACACACACAGAGAGAGAGAGAGAGAGAGAGAGAGAGAGAGAGAGAGAGAGAGAGAGAAGCAUUUUUCUUCCCUAUCAGCACCCAUCUCUGUGUGAGGGUUUUUCCCUUCACAUCCCAAUUCUGCUCUCCCCGUAAGCUGUGAGGGAACCUUGUCACAUCAGAGAAGCCUCGGGUAAGGAGGCUGGAUGCUUGGAAUAGUGCUUGAAGCACUGUUAACAGAGAGUAGGGUCCAGUCUUCCAAAGUCAUGACCCAAAUCCAAAGUUGAAAAGACCUGAGCAGUGUAUAAGCAGCCUCUUAGAGCCUGCAUAGUACAUUUUUAGGCCUGAAUAAAUCUAUUUGCACUUCUUUUUAUAAUCAUACUUACGUAGAUAAGGUUGGCAGGAGGAAGAUUAAAUAUAUGAGGUGUAUGUUUAUAACAGUUUUAACCUCAAGUCAUGUUUAUUUAUAAGAGAAAAUGACAGCGGAAUUUGGAAAAUUAAGAAGUGAUUCUUGUCAGUUAGUGGUGGCACAAACCUUUAAUACAGCACUUGGGAGACAGAGAUAGGCAGAUCUGUUGACAUUGAGGACAGCCCAGUCUACAGAGUAAGUACGGGGACAACCAGCCACAAAACCACCUAGAGAAAUCUUAUCCUGAAAGCUUAAAAAAACACAAAGGCUGAUUCUACUAGAAAUGUUUGAGCAAUUGGGAGUGUCAGUUAUCUGGUCUCAUGUAGUCUCAUGAAAGACCAUGAACAGUUACUUUGAGGGUAGGGCGGAAGAAAGAAAACUUUUUCUCAUAUGAGGUUUAUAAAUUAUCACCACAGGCUUCCCCUACGAACGAGACUAUCUCCUGUUCUCAUGAUGCACUAGUGACAGAAAACAUAUGACUAAUGGAGAGAAACUGGUAGAUACACAAGAAAAAAACAUGGAAUAAUUUCCAUCUUAUAAAGGAUCAGCAUUAACAUUUAUCAGAAUAUGGUGUGGAGAGUCGUUCAACUCAGUACAUGUUGAGUUCUAUAGAGUACAUGAUACUGUCCUAUGCCAGUGAGCAAGUCAUAAUGUAAAACAAUACAUCCAAAUCCUUAGGAAUGUGUGUCUUUGUAGGGUGCACCCCAGAAUAUUUACACACUUACAUCACAAACUGGAUCACAAACCACAUCUCAGCAAAUUUCAAAAGACUGAAACCAUAUUUAAUAUGAAUAAAACUGAAAAUCAAGCAUA
Molecule: long non-coding RNA, 1835 nt
Organism: Grammomys surdaster
Lineage: Eukaryota; Metazoa; Chordata; Mammalia; Rodentia; Muridae
Exons: 2
Source: RefSeq, a predicted model, not a curated record